GACGAACGCUGGCGGCGUGCUUAACACAUGCAAGUCGAACGGAAAGGCCCUGCUUUUGUGGGGUGCUCGAGUGGCGAACGGGUGAGUAACACGUGAGUAACCUGCCCUUGACUUUGGGAUAACUUCAGGAAACUGGGGCUAAUACCGGAUAGGAGCUCCUGCUGCAUGGUGGGGGUUGGAAAGUUUCGGCGGUUGGGGAUGGACUCGCGGCUUAUCAGCUUGUUGGUGGGGUAGUGGCUUACCAAGGCUUUGACGGGUAGCCGGCCUGAGAGGGUGACCGGCCACAUUGGGCCUGAGAUACGGCACAGACUCCUACGGGAGGCAGGAGUGGGGAAUAGUGCACAAUGGGCGGAAGCCUGAUGCAGCAACGCCGCGUGCGGGAUGACGGCCUUCGGGUUGUAAACCGCUUUCGCCUGUGACGAAGCGUGAGUGACGGUAAUGGGUAAAGAAGCACCGGCUAACUACGUG
RNAcentral lists this ribosomal RNA (468 nucleotides) under uncultured bacterium. RNAcentral's name for it is "partial 16S ribosomal RNA". It matches the Rfam family "Bacterial small subunit ribosomal RNA", at positions 28 to 507 of the family's 1533-position model. The record is from RNAcentral.